GGGCCGUUAGCUCAGUUGGCUAGAGCGCCUCCCUUACAAGGAGGAGGUCGUCCGUUCGAGCCGGAUACGGCCCA
RNAcentral lists this transfer RNA (74 nucleotides) under Planctomycetota bacterium. Its description in RNAcentral is "tRNA-Val". It matches the Rfam family "tRNA". From Rfam's summary of the family: Transfer RNA (tRNA) molecules are approximately 80 nucleotides in length. Their secondary structure includes four short double-helical elements and three loops (D, anti-codon, and T loops). The record is from RNAcentral. Lineage: Bacteria; Pseudomonadati; Planctomycetota.